Cornus florida is the source of this 2983-nucleotide long non-coding RNA. RefSeq lists it as uncharacterized. The record is from RefSeq and is a predicted model, not a curated record. NCBI's taxonomy places the organism in Eukaryota, Viridiplantae, Streptophyta, Magnoliopsida, Cornales, Cornaceae. The transcript is spliced from 5 exons.
CUUUGAUGGUAAUGAUAAACCAAUUUAUAAAUUGCUCCCUAAAUAUAAAGUUUACUGCUGGGAACUAUAUAAAUCUGUGAUGUUUUUAUAGGCACUUUUCAAUGUUCAGAAAAAAGUUAUUUGGUGCAUUGGUUGAUGUUUCUCUCAUAUUUAAGAUCUAAAUGACAUUUAUCUUAAGUUUCUCUUAUGAAAACUAUAUCAUGAGGAGGUGGAUUGGACCACAAUUUUUUUUUUUUUGGGUUUUGUUUUGUUUUAUCGGUUGUUAUUCAAAAAAUUGACAGUCUAAGGGGAACUUUGUUCCCACUUUUGAGAUUUGCAUUUCAAUUCUCGCAACAUUAUGGAGGUAAUGUGAAAUUGUUUGUCCUUCCCAAUUCACCACAUCCCAGAUGUGAAAGUCAUGGAGUAUAUUACAAUCUUAUCACAUUUUUAACACUGCAACAAAACACUGAUGUGGUGCCAAAAUUUUAACAGCAAUUUAAAAAAAAAAUGCUGCACAUUUUUAAUGUGGCACUUGAUUGCUGUAGAAACAUGGACCCAUCUUUUAUUUUUAUUUUUCAUUAUUCAUUUUGUAUUUGUCCAUCGUCCUCCCUUUCUCUCUAUCUUACUUCUCAUCUACUACUACUCUCUCUCUCUCACACACACAAGUUAAACCUUGUGUAUUGGGGAUGGUAAUGGUGUUGGAUCCGUAGAAAUGAAUCGGAGUUUGAAGGAAUCUCUGAUCGGAGGGAGGUCACAGCACCGGCGAGGUCUCAGUCUCAACGGAAUCUCCAAGGAUACGGACGAGAACUUGGAUCUCUUCUCUAUGAAUAGCCGGAGUCUCUCCGUUGCUUCGUCCGACGAAUCCGACGUUUCAGUGAAAUUGGGGAGGCUUUCAGUUGGAUCAGCGAAACCCUACAAAAUAUAUGACUGCCAGACCGACUUCUUCUUCUACUUCUUCCUCCGAGGACACCAAUUCAUGGGCCGUUCAUGCCUAGUCGCCGCCGGACUGCACUAGUGGCGGUGGCCGGGCAUACGCUUCAUUCUCUCUCCAAGUAUUCGCGAGAUUUCGAAGGCAGGUGAUCGGGAUUAUACCAGCUCGGUACCUCCUCUUGAUUACAAGGCAAACCCCUUGUUUCCAUCCUCGGCAAAGCCCAUGAUUCAGAGAACUUAGGAAAGGGCAAAACUUGCCAGCACAUUGGACCUACUUGAUGUAGGGGUCUCUUUUGUGUUGAGGUUUUGAUUGUACACAUCUAUAACCAAUUGUAAAGAUGAAGGGGUCGGACUAUGCGAUAUGCUGCUUUGGAUUCUUUACGACAGGGUGAUGGUGUUGCAGCUGUGGCUGAUGAUGGAUCAUCAGGCCAAGAUAAGUUCUCUUUUUCCUUUUAAUUUUAAUUUUAUUUAUUGGCUCUGAAUUGUUUAUGGUUUUGUUACAGAGAAAAAAAGAAAAUUUCAAAUUUUUUUUUUUUUUGAUAUAAGGAGAGUUUCAAACUGUCAUUAUUCUUAUUUUUCUGUUUUCAAAUACAUUUCGCGUUUUUUCCAUGAUUAGUAAUGGGAGAGAAAAAAAACCAUCUUCCAAUAUUGGCUUAGUAAGAAAAAUGCUAUUUCUGUUAGAAGACUAAGGAGACUUAAGAACGAAAAAGAGUUGGAAAAAGAAGAAGACUCGCAGAAGCCAUUACUUGGUCUGUGAAUCUUCAUCGACAUUGCGCAAACACUCAUAAAUAUAGCUAUACCCUCAGCUAUUCCAAUACAGAAUGAGCAGGUCUUUUCUUCAUUGUACCAAGCUGUCCUCUCAUUUUACUCCUUUGGCUUGUCUUCAUUCUAUCAAGCUGCCCUCUCACUUCACGCAGCUCCUUAUCCUACCUAAUUUCAGAAAUAGGGAUCCCUUUAGCUGACUGGUUACACUAGAUAGAUAGAGAAAAGGAAGCAGAAACAAUGAGUUUUCUUCAAUUCCUACUGCUGUUCUUAGUGGUGGAGCUUGCCGGAAUUGCAGCAACUCCCUCAACAACUCUUGCCAAGCCCGGUUGCCCCCACCGCUGUGGCAAUCUUACCAUUCUUUAUCCGUUCGGCACCCGCAAGAGCUGUUCCCUAAAUGACUCAUUCCUGAUCACAUCAGAUCGAUCCAAACCAUUUUUAGCCAACAAACACUUACCUGUUCUUGAUUGGCAUGCACCUUCCCAGGUAGAGACUCGCAACUGUCCAUCCAUCAAGUGAGAUGCUGGCAUGCACCUUCCCAGGUAAUAGACUCGCAACUGGCCAUCAAGUGAGAUGCUAAAAAUAGGUAAGUGUUUAUUGGCUAAAAAUGGUUUGGAUCGAUCUGAUGUGAUCAGGAAGGAGUCAUUUAGGGAACAGUUCUUGUGUGUGCCGAACGCGUAAAGCAUGGUAAGAUUGCCAUAGUAGGGGGCAUCCUGGCUUGGCAAGAGUUGUUAAAGGAGUUGCUGCAAUUCCGGCAAGCUCCACCACUAAGAACAGUUGUAGGAAUUGAAGAAAACUCAUUGUUUCUGCUUCCUCCUCUCUAUCUAGUGCAACCAGUCAGCUAAAGGGAUCCCUAUUUCUAAAAUUAGGUAGGAUAGGGGGCUGCGUGAAGUUAGCAGUUGAACAAUCUGAAAGAUACAAGUUAGCAGUUGCAGAAAGUUAGCAGUUGCAGAGAGAGAGGGGGGCAAGCUUGAGAGUUGAGAGACAUCGGCUGAAGCUUGCGAAUGGCGAACCUGAACUGGAACAGCGGGCAAUGGAAACUGAAAGAUAUGGGUUUUGAUUUUUUGAACAAUCUGAAAUGAUAUGCCCAUAUGGGUUUUGAACUUUUGAUUCUUGCAGACAGAUAAACUGAAAUAUAUGGGUUUUGAACUUCUGAUUCUUGUAGAUUUUCUAGCUUGCAGUGAGAGAGAGAGAGAAGGCAAGUUCAGAGUUGAGAACGAGAAUAGAGAUGGAGGCGAUUGGAGAGGCUGAAAUGAUAUGCUGAUAUGGGUUUUGAUAUAGAUUUUCUAGUUUGCAGUUGCACACAGAGAGG